CGACAUAUCUUUCUGACUCUGAGCUAAUGAUGAGAGAAUCAAACAUUGCCUGAUAUGCUAAAUGUAGACAAUCUUGAAUUCCUCGUUACUGAAGUUCAUGAGCUCGUGUCCUUUCUGCCUU
This 121-nucleotide microRNA precursor is filed under the name Nematostella vectensis (starlet sea anemone). Its description in RNAcentral is "microRNA nve-mir-2033 precursor". The record is from miRBase by way of RNAcentral. Lineage: Eukaryota; Metazoa; Cnidaria; Anthozoa; Actiniaria; Edwardsiidae.